CCACACCAAAAAAACUAUCCACGUGAACCGUUAAGUAAAAGUCUAGUUGGCUUGUGUUGUUGGGGAGUGUGUUGGGAAAAGCUUGGAGAUGUCUUUGGAUAUUUCGAUGCGUAGUACUGGUCAUUCUAACGAGCGAGUCGGGUAGCAACGAAGGUCGGGAGUUCGCUUGCGGACUGAUGUGCGCUUGUCGCAUGUCGGUCGAAAGGCUUGAGCAAACGGCUGAUCUAUUCMUUUUAAACCAUACCAUAAGUACUGAUUAUACUGUGGGGACGAAAGUCCUUGCUUUUAUUGACAACAACUUUCAGCAGUGGAUGUCUAGGCUCGCACAUCGAUGAAGAACGCUGCGAACUGCGAUACGUAAUGCGAAUUGCAGAAUUCAGUGAGUCAUCGAAAUUUUGAACGCAUAUUGCACUUCCGGGUUAUGCCUGGAAGUAUGUCUGUAUCAGUGUCCGUACAUUAAACUUGCCUCUCUUCGUCGGUGUAGUCCGGCUUGGAGAAAGAGCAGAGGUGAAGUGUCUCGCGCCAUGUUUGUGAAGUAUUUGAUAUUUCGCGAGUGCACGAGUCCUUUGAAAUGGACUACGGUCUUUCUAUUGCGCUGUUCCAGGGCGUGUGUUUUGAACGCGGUGGUCUCGUCGAUUGCUUGCAGAUGUUUAAGACCUUGGCGGGGACAAUGGAAGAAACCUCCUUUUCGCGGUACGUUCGGCUUCGGCUCGACAAUGUUGUGAGAGGGUGUGUGUCUUUCGUCUCUUAGCUUUGAGGUGUAUAUUGUACUGUGUGUGGUUUGUCGAGUCUUUGCCGGUAGUAGAAAUGCGCGUUUGUYGGCACGCACUUGCUGUGAGGUAUAUUACUGUGGCGUAAUGUACUUUGUAGAUAGAGAGAUUGAUUUGGGAAAUUCUGUGCUACAUGGCAUGCUCAUCGAGCUCUCCGCUGAGAGUUUGUGUGUGUGUGUGUCGGUAGUAUCUCAAUUGGACCUGAUAUCAGACAAGACUACCCGCU
This is a ribosomal RNA of 996 nucleotides. The stretch from base 297 to 451 matches the Rfam family "5.8S ribosomal RNA".